UACGGAAGGCAGCAGUGGGGAAUAUUGCACAAUGGGCGCAAGCCUGAUGCAGCCAUGCCGCGUGUAUGAAGAAGGCCUUCGGGUUGUAAAGUACUUUCAGUCGUGAGGAAGGUGUUAAGGUUAAUAACCUUAGCAAUUGACGUUAGCGACAGAAGAAGCACCGGCUAACUCCGUGCCAGCAGCCGCGGUAAUACGGAGGGUGCGAGCGUUAAUCGGAAUUACUGGGCGUAAAGGGCACGCAGGCGGUUAAUUAAGUUGGAUGUGAAAUCCCCGGGCUUAACCUGGGAAUGGCAUUCAAGACUGGUUAGCUAGAGUCUUGUAGAGGGGGUAGAAUUCCAUGUGUAGCGGUGAAAUGCGUAGAGAUGUGGAGGAAUACCGGGUGGCGAAGGCGGCCCCUGGGACAAAGGACUGACGCUCAUGUGCGAAAGCGUGGGGAGCAAACAGGGAUUAGAUACC
Molecule: ribosomal RNA, 456 nt
Filed under: uncultured bacterium
Lineage: Bacteria
Description: bacterial SSU rRNA
Rfam family: Bacterial small subunit ribosomal RNA
Source: RNAcentral